GCACCCGUGGCGCAACGGAUAGCGCAUUUGAUUCCGGUUCAAAAGGUUGCAGGUUCGAUUCCUGUCGGGUGUACCA
This 76-nucleotide transfer RNA is filed under the name Erysipelothrix sp. HDW6A. RNAcentral describes it as "tRNA-Arg". It matches the Rfam family "tRNA". Rfam says of the family: Transfer RNA (tRNA) molecules are approximately 80 nucleotides in length. Their secondary structure includes four short double-helical elements and three loops (D, anti-codon, and T loops). Lineage: Bacteria; Bacillati; Bacillota; Erysipelotrichia; Erysipelotrichales; Erysipelotrichaceae. The record is from RNAcentral.